ACAGGAGGGGAUACUGAUAUUGAUAGUACAGGAGGAAAUAAAGGCAUUGAUUUUGAAGAUGUUGGUAAUUUUGGAGUUAUAGAUUUUCCUAGAGGCAGUGGAGUGGGUAAUAUUGAUGCUGGUGGAAGUUCUAGCAGCAGUGUUGACGUUGAAGUUGGAGGUGGCAAAAGGGGAGAAAUUGUUUUGGAAAUGGUACCAAAGUGAUGCAGGAAUAAUUAACUUUUCUCUCUUUAAUAUUUUAGGUAUUUUGUUCUUUAAUAGUGAGGGUGUUGUUGUUUCAUUUUUUUUGCUUCAGACUCUGUUUUGUGAUGGGCUCUUUAUUUUCAUUUUUAUUUUAUUCUAGUUUUGU
RNAcentral lists this unclassified non-coding RNA (349 nucleotides) under Hevea brasiliensis (rubber tree). Lineage: Eukaryota; Viridiplantae; Streptophyta; Magnoliopsida; Malpighiales; Euphorbiaceae. The record is from RNAcentral.